AUCCUGAGUAGCGCGGGACCAGAGAAAUCCUGUGUGAAUCUGCCGGUACCAUCCGGUAAGGCUAAAAUACUCAUUAGAUACCGAUAGUGAACCAGUACCGUAAGGGAAAGGUGAAAAGUACUCCGAACAGGAGAGUGAAAUAGUACCUGAAACCGUACACCUACAAGCGGUCGGAGUCUCUACGUAAGUAGAGAUGACGGCGUGCCUUUUGCAUAAUGAGCCUACGAGUUACUCCUCACUGGCAAGGUUAAGUUCUUCAAUAACGGAGCCGUAGCGAAAGCGAGUCCAAAUAGGGCGAAUAGUCAGUGGGGGUAGACGCGAAAACUUUGUGAUCUAUCCAUGGGGCAGGUUGAAGUUCCGUUAACCCGGAAUGGGAGGACCGAACCCAUUAACGUUGAAAAGUUAUGGGAUGACCUGUGGAUAGGGGUGAAAGGCC
Molecule: ribosomal RNA, 436 nt
Filed under: uncultured bacterium
Lineage: Bacteria
Description: bacterial LSU rRNA
Rfam family: Bacterial large subunit ribosomal RNA
Source: RNAcentral